Molecule: ribosomal RNA, 446 nt
Filed under: uncultured bacterium
Lineage: Bacteria
Description: partial 16S ribosomal RNA
Rfam family: Bacterial small subunit ribosomal RNA
Source: RNAcentral
GUCCAGACUCCUACGGGAGGCAGCAGUGGGGAAUAUUGCACAAUGGGGGAAACCCUGAUGCAGCGACGCCGCGUGAAGGAUGAAGUAUUUCGGUAUGUAAACUUCUAUCAGCAGGGAAGAAAAUGACGGUACCUGACUAAGAAGCCCCGGCUAACUACGUGCCAGCAGCCGCGGUAAUACGUAGGGGGCAAGCGUUAUCCGGAUUUACUGGGUGUAAAGGGGGCGCAGACGGCGAUGCAAGCCAGGAGUGAAAGCCUGGGGCCCAACCCCGGGACUGCUCUUGGAACUGCGUGGCUGGAGUGCAGGAGGGGCAGGCGGAAUUCCUGGUGUAGCGGUGAAAUGCGUAGAUAUCAGGAGGAACACCGGUGGCGAAGGCGGCCUGCUGGACUGCAACUGACGUUGAGGCCCGAAAGCGUGGGGAGCAAACAGGAUUAGAUGCCCCUGUA